Long non-coding RNA from Mustela erminea (ermine), 1522 nucleotides. RefSeq lists it as uncharacterized. The transcript has 3 exons. The record is from RefSeq and is a predicted model, not a curated record. Lineage: Eukaryota; Metazoa; Chordata; Mammalia; Carnivora; Mustelidae.
CGUCAGUUUUCUGCCUUAACAUUUAGUUCUAGUCAUUUUGCAUACCCCUUUUCACAUUUGGCUGUUGAUCCUAAAAUGGACCAGAAGCAAAUCAUUAAGAUAAAAAAUAUUUUUAGUCUUCCAUGUGACAGAGAAGAUUGUGGGAAGCGUGCUGAGUUUCGAAGGAAUCCGACUGGUUUGACGGUUUCCAGGUCCUUGGGAAUUCUGGAAGAGCUCGGGAGGUCACAGAGUGAUGGCGGUGCUCUUCAUCCCAGUGGAGGUGGAUUUCCAGACAAUCCAGAUGGUCUGACUUUUCUCCUACAAUGCCUCCCUCGGGCGUGGGGCAACCGGGGGCCUCGGCCUGUGCCCCCAAAAAGGAAGAGCAAGGAGAUGCAGCUAGUGUGCUCGUGUCCCAAGGGCAAGAGGCUGGAGGGACUUCCUCUGGAGAAGCAGCGUGGGAGACGCAUCUGCAGAGCCUCAUUCUGAGAGCACAGGGCAGAGAAUCGCCUGCUGCUGUCUGGAGGGCCCAGCUGGGGUGCUGGGCUGGUGGGGGGUUCCUAAAGGAAGGAGCAUGUGGGUCCCUGGCACUCUUUGCUGUCACCCUCUCUGUGAGGGCACAGGAACCCCAAUUCCUGGUGAGCUAAGUUCCCAGAAGUGGGAGACGAGGCCCCCCACCCUGCAGAGAGGGAGCCCCUCAGAGGGGUGGCCACCCUCGGCAGUGACUGCGAAGAUGUGAGGAGACAGCCAAGGGGCUGAAGUGUGGCCAGCAGGCUGCCUGUGCGGCCUUCCCCCGGCAAUCACUGUUUACUUUGGACGCUGGCUGUCCCCACAAUCCACACAUGAGAUUUAUCACCAGAAGCUAGUCACUCAGGCUGUAAUACUAACAAACUUCUCAAACACAAGCCGUCACCUCCCAGGCGAGAAGCGGAGGAUGUGAAAGGAGGAAUAGUGCCCAUUCUGCAGCUCUAUAUUCAACAGCGUUGGUAUCUCAUCCUCAUAAUUGGGGGGACAGCCUGAAAUUUUAAGCUGUGUGCCUGCUCCCUGGAUUUUCUGUUCUCCUCAUUGUAAUCUGGAAGCCAAGCCUGUAAUUUCUUGAGUGGGGAUUUUAGCAAAACAGAAAGCAGAUGGCAAUUCUAGAGCAGUAGAAGUCUCUAUUCUUCUAGAGGUCAGGACAGGAAGAGUGUCCUUGAGGAGCAGUAAGACAGGAAGUAGAAGUUCCUGGAAGUGGAAAGGAAAUGACAAGACUCCAGAGAGGAAUGGCUCAGUGGUUACAGUCUCACAAAAGAUUCCUGGAGCCCAGGCUCAGCCCCGCAGGGCAUAAAGAGAAUGGGCAGACAGGUGUAAGGAGAGACCACGUAGAACAGGAGGGGCCUCCUUAAUGCCCGAAUACUUAAAACCCUGGGACAAGGCUGAGCCUUUAAAAUGAGUAGGUUGAAAAUUUCUACUAGUCAAGUAUAGUGGAGGUUCCGAUGAGCUUUCUUUGCCAGUAGAAACAGCCCUUCCACCACCGACGGCACAACCUGAGGAAGUCCCAGCAGGCUCA